Molecule: ribosomal RNA, 2586 nt
Filed under: Staphylococcus aureus
Lineage: Bacteria; Bacillati; Bacillota; Bacilli; Caryophanales; Staphylococcaceae
Description: partial 23S ribosomal RNA
Rfam family: Bacterial large subunit ribosomal RNA
Source: RNAcentral
GACGAAUCAUCUGGAAAGAUGAAUCAAAGAAGGUAAUAAUCCUGUAGUCGAAAAUGUUGUCUCUCUUGAGUGGAUCCUGAGUACGACGGAGCACGUGAAAUUCCGUCGGAAUCUGGGAGGACCAUCUCCUAAGGCUAAAUACUCUCUAGUGACCGAUAGUGAACCAGUACCGUGAGGGAAAGGUGAAAAGCACCCCGGAAGGGGAGUGAAAUAGAACCUGAAACCGUGUGCUUACAAGUAGUCAGAGCCCGUUAAUGGGUGAUGGCGUGCCUUUUGUAGAAUGAACCGGCGAGUUACGAUUUGAUGCAAGGUUAAGCAGUAAAUGUGGAGCCGUAGCGAAAGCGAGUCUGAAUAGGGCGUUUAGUAUUUGGUCGUAGACCCGAAACCAGGUGAUCUACCCUUGGUCAGGUUGAAGUUCAGGUAACACUGAAUGGAGGACCGAACCGACUUACGUUGAAAAGUGAGCGGAUGAACUGAGGGUAGCGGAGAAAUUCCAAUCGAACCUGGAGAUAGCUGGUUCUCUCCGAAAUAGCUUUAGGGCUAGCCUCAAGUGAUGAUUAUUGGAGGUAGAGCACUGUUUGGACGAGGGGCCCCUCUCGGGUUACCGAAUUCAGACAAACUCCGAAUGCCAAUUAAUUUAACUUGGGAGUCAGAACAUGGGUGAUAAGGUCCGUGUUCGAAAGGGAAACAGCCCAGACCACCAGCUAAGGUCCCAAAAUAUAUGUUAAGUGGAAAAGGAUGUGGCGUUGCCCAGACAACUAGGAUGUUGGCUUAGAAGCAGCCAUCAUUUAAAGAGUGCGUAAUAGCUCACUAGUCGAGUGACACUGCGCCGAAAAUGUACCGGGGCUAAACAUAUUACCGAAGCUGUGGAUUGUCCUUUGGACAAUGGUAGGAGAGCGUUCUAAGGGCGUUGAAGCAUGAUCGUAAGGACAUGUGGAGCGCUUAGAAGUGAGAAUGCCGGUGUGAGUAGCGAAAGACGGGUGAGAAUCCCGUCCACCGAUUGACUAAGGUUUCCAGAGGAAGGCUCGUCCGCUCUGGGUUAGUCGGGUCCUAAGCUGAGGCCGACAGGCGUAGGCGAUGGAUAACAGGUUGAUAUUCCUGUACCACCUAUAAUCGUUUUAAUCGAUGGGGGGACGCAGUAGGAUAGGCGAAGCGUGCGAUUGGAUUGCACGUCUAAGCAGUAAGGCUGAGUAUUAGGCAAAUCCGGUACUCGUUAAGGCUGAGCUGUGAUGGGGAGAAGACAUUGUGUCUUCGAGUCGUUGAUUUCACACUGCCGAGAAAAGCCUCUAGAUAGAAAAUAGGUGCCCGUACCGCAAACCGACACAGGUAGUCAAGAUGAGAAUUCUAAGGUGAGCGAGCGAACUCUCGUUAAGGAACUCGGCAAAAUGACCCCGUAACUUCGGGAGAAGGGGUGCUCUUUAGGGUUAACGCCCAGAAGAGCCGCAGUGAAUAGGCCCAAGCGACUGUUUAUCAAAAACACAGGUCUCUGCUAAACCGUAAGGUGAUGUAUAGGGGCUGACGCCUGCCCGGUGCUGGAAGGUUAAGAGGAGUGGUUAGCUUCUGCGAAGCUACGAAUCGAAGCCCCAGUAAACGGCGGCCGUAACUAUAACGGUCCUAAGGUAGCGAAAUUCCUUGUCGGGUAAGUUCCGACCCGCACGAAAGGCGUAACGAUUUGGGCACUGUCUCAACGAGAGACUCGGUGAAAUCAUAGUACCUGUGAAGAUGCAGGUUACCCGCGACAGGACGGAAAGACCCCGUGGAGCUUUACUGUAGCCUGAUAUUGAAAUUCGGCACAGCUUGUACAGGAUAGGUAGGAGCCUUUGAAACGUGAGCGCUAGCUUACGUGGAGGCGCUGGUGGGAUACUACCCUAGCUGUGUUGGCUUUCUAACCCGCACCACUUAUCGUGGUGGGAGACAGUGUCAGGCGGGCAGUUUGACUGGGGCGGUCGCCUCCUAAAAGGUAACGGAGGCGCUCAAAGGUUCCCUCAGAAUGGUUGGAAAUCAUUCAUAGAGUGUAAAGGCAUAAGGGAGCUUGACUGCGAGACCUACAAGUCGAGCAGGGUCGAAAGACGGACUUAGUGAUCCGGUGGUUCCGCAUGGAAGGGCCAUCGCUCAACGGAUAAAAGCUACCCCGGGGAUAACAGGCUUAUCUCCCCCAAGAGUUCACAUCGACGGGGAGGUUUGGCACCUCGAUGUCGGCUCAUCGCAUCCUGGGGCUGUAGUCGGUCCCAAGGGUUGGGCUGUUCGCCCAUUAAAGCGGUACGCGAGCUGGGUUCAGAACGUCGUGAGACAGUUCGGUCCCUAUCCGUCGUGGGCGUAGGAAAUUUGAGAGGAGCUGUCCUUAGUACGAGAGGACCGGGAUGGACAUACCUCUGGUGUACCAGUUGUCGUGCCAACGGCAUAGCUGGGUAGCUAUGUGUGGACGGGAUAAGUGCUGAAAGCAUCUAAGCAUGAAGCCCCCCUCAAGAUGAGAUUUCCCAACUUCGGUUAUAAGAUCCCUCAAAGAUGAUGAGGUUAAUAGGUUCGAGGUGGAAGCAUGGUGACAUGUGGAGCUGACGAAUACUAAUCGAUCGAAGACUUAAUCAA